CAGUAUGUGUUCAUCUGAUGUAACAGAGUCUUUAACACAGCGAGAGGUGGAACUUGUAGAAAUGGAUCCUCCUUGCUACAAAUAAAUAAGUACUGGCCGCUGGGAGAUUCCAUUGCACUUUCGUUACAGGUAAUGUUAAAAUGGCUAUCAUUCGGUCUAAGAACCCUACCAGAGGCUGUAAGCGCACGCGUGAUGCAACCGCAACACAGGAAAAUCCUUUGAACGGGUUGGUGCAAUGGAUUGGAGUUGACGAUUCCCUCCCAACCCAUAACGUGAAUCCAGUGCUAAUAAUUCGUGGUGAGUUGCAGUGUGGAGGCCAAUGCGUCAUCUCAUGGAAAGAAUACAACAGCCCGUUGGCUGCUGCCAUGCAGUAGUAGGCUUUCUCAGACUAUGCGAAUGUUACGAUGUAUUUGCCACCAACUGCAUGCCCAACGACAAGCAAUUCUUUGUGUUUAUCAGAGCAACAAUUUUUUCAAUAGGCAAACUAACCACUACAGGUGAAAAAUUUGCUCGUUCUACGUGGU
This is a long non-coding RNA of Sabethes cyaneus, 524 nucleotides long. RefSeq lists it as uncharacterized. NCBI's taxonomy places the organism in Eukaryota, Metazoa, Arthropoda, Insecta, Diptera, Culicidae. The transcript has 3 exons. The record is from RefSeq and is a predicted model, not a curated record.